GCUGAUGUGAAAAACUUGAACUCACCGUCUGAAAAGAGCUCAUGUUUGUUACUCUUUGACAGGUCAGAAGAACCCAGAAUAAAUUUCAAAGAAUCAGGAGCAGCAGCGGGAUCAGUAGUAUCUACUACCAGCUCAAUGGGGGUCGCAAUCAAUUUCUGGACCAUCUUCUCCCUGGUCAACCCUACUUCUUACUUCGGAGCAGCAUUACGAUGGAGUGGACGAUAGUCAUCAGUGAGUCUGAUCUGUUUACCUCAUAUU
Molecule: long non-coding RNA, 258 nt
Filed under: Sparus aurata (gilthead seabream)
Lineage: Eukaryota; Metazoa; Chordata; Actinopteri; Spariformes; Sparidae
Description: lncRNA (ENSSAUG00010014175.1)
Source: RNAcentral